AGUGAACGCUGGCGGUAGGCCUAACACAUGCAAGUCGAACGGCAGCACAGUAAUAGCUUGCUCUUACGGGUGGCGAGUGGCGGACGGGUGAGGAAUACAUCGGAAUCUACUUUGUCGUGGGGGAUAACGUAGGGAAACUUACGCUAAUACCGCAUACGACCUACGGGUGAAAGCAUGGGAUCUUCGGACCUUGCGUGAUUGAAUGAGCCGAUGUCGGAUUAGCUAGUUGGCGGGGUAAAGGCCCACCAAGGCGACGAUCCGUAGCUGGUCUGAGAGGAUGAUCAGCCACACUGGAACUGAGACACGGUCCAGACUCCUACGGGAGGCAGCAGUGGGGAAUAUUGGACAAUGGGCGCAAGCCUGAUCCAGCCAUACCGCGUGUGUGAAGAAGGCCUUCGGAUUGUAAAGCCCUUUUAGUGGGAAAGAAAAGCAGUAGGUUAAUACCCCGCUGUUCUGACGGUACCCAAAGAAUAAGCACCGGCUAACUUCGUG
This 492-nucleotide ribosomal RNA is filed under the name uncultured bacterium. RNAcentral describes it as "partial 16S ribosomal RNA". It matches the Rfam family "Bacterial small subunit ribosomal RNA", at positions 29 to 507 of the family's 1533-position model. The record is from RNAcentral.